This is a non-coding RNA of Otolemur garnettii (small-eared galago), 74 nucleotides long. The record is from Rfam. Lineage: Eukaryota; Metazoa; Chordata; Mammalia; Primates; Galagidae.
GUGCCUGUGGCUCAAAGGGGUAGGGCACCGGUCUCAUAUGCAGGAGGUGGUGGGUUCAAACCCCGCCACGGCCA